GAUGAAGAACGUAGCGAAAUGCGAUACGUAAUGUGAAUUGCAGAAUUCAGUGAAUCAUCGAGUCUUUGAACGCACAUUGCGCCCACUAGUAUUCUGGUGGGCAUGCCUGUUCGAGCGUCAUUUCAACCCUCAAGCCUGGCUUGGUGUUGGGGCUCUGCGCCUGCAGUCCCUUAAAUCCAGUGGCGGACACGCUAGGUCUCCGAGCGCAGUAGUUUCUUCUCGCUCAGGGCGUCCGGCGUGGGCUUGCCUCGCACCCAUCUUAUCAAGGUUGACCUCGGAUCAGGUAGGAAUACCCGCUGAACUUAAGCAUAUCAAUAAGCGGAGGA
RNAcentral lists this unclassified non-coding RNA (326 nucleotides) under soil metagenome. Its description in RNAcentral is "partial contains 5.8S ribosomal RNA, internal transcribed spacer 2, and large subunit ribosomal RNA". The stretch from base 1 to 120 matches the Rfam family "5.8S ribosomal RNA", at positions 35 to 154 of the family's 154-position model. The record is from RNAcentral.